CUUACCAGCGCUCGUAGUAGCUCCUGGGUAUUUGAUACCGGUGAGGUUGCUCAAAUUUGUAACUCAAAGCAGGAGCUGUGGAAUAAGCGGAGACUGGCGAAGGAUGAGGUGACAAUGCACGGUGGGAAUGGUUCCAAGGUCGAUGUGAUCUCCGUCGGCAUGCUACCUCUACAUCUACCUUCAGGAUUAGUUUUAAACCUCAAUAAUUGUUAUUUAGUGCCAGAUUUGAGCAUGAACAUUGUAUCUAGAUCUCGUUUAAUGCGAGAUGGCUACUCAUUUAAAUCCGAUAAUAAUGGUUGUUCUAUUUAUAUGAGAGAUACGCUUUAUGGUCAUGCCCCGUUGGUCAAUGGUUUAUUUUUAUUGAAUCUCGAACGUGAUGUUACACAUAUUCAUAGUGUGAAUGCCAAA
This 408-nucleotide ribosomal RNA is filed under the name Triticum aestivum (bread wheat). Its description in RNAcentral is "partial small subunit ribosomal RNA". The record is from RNAcentral. Lineage: Eukaryota; Viridiplantae; Streptophyta; Magnoliopsida; Poales; Poaceae.